This 1490-nucleotide ribosomal RNA is filed under the name uncultured bacterium. RNAcentral describes it as "16S ribosomal RNA". It matches the Rfam family "Bacterial small subunit ribosomal RNA". The record is from RNAcentral.
AGAGUUUGAUCCUGGCUCAGGACGAACGUUGGCGGCGUGCUUAACACAUGCAAGUCGAGCGGGACUUAGUAAAAAGUUUACUUUUUACUAUGUCUAGCGGCGGACGGGUGAGUAACGCGUGGAUAAUCUGCCUGUAAGACAGGGAUAACGCCGGGAAACCGGUGCUAAUACCCGAUAACCUCUUUAGACCGCAUGAUCUAAAGAGAAAAGGUGGCCGACAUACAGAUGAAUCCGCGUCCCAUUAGCCAGUUGGUGGGGUAAUGGCCUACCAAAGCGACGAUGGGUAGCCGGCCUGAGAGGGUGACCGGCCACACUGGAACUGAGAUACGGUCCAGACUCCUACGGGAGGCAGCAGUGGGGAAUCUUCCGCAAUGGGCGAAAGCCUGACGGAGCAACGCCGCGUGAGCGAAGAAGGUUUUCGGAUUGUAAAGCUCUGUGAUAUUGGACGAAAGAUUUCCCGUAAAUAACAGAGGAAGCCACGGCUAACUACGUGCCAGCAGCCGCGGUAAUACGUAGGUGGCAAACGUUGUCCGGAAUUACUGGGCGUAAAGGGCGAGUAGGUGGUUUAUUAAGUCAGAAGUGAAAUCCCCGGGCUCAACCGUGGACGUGCAUUUGAAACUUGUAGACUUGAGUGCAAGAGAGGGAAGUGGAAUUCCUAGUGUAGCGGUGAAAUGCGUAGAUAUUAGGAGGAACACCAGUGGCGAAGGCGACUUCCUGGCUUGUAACUGACACUGAGGCGCGAAAGCGUGGGGAUCAAACAGGAUUAGAUACCCUGGUAGUCCACGCCGUAAACGAUGGAUGCUAGGUGUAGGAGGUAUCGACCCCUCUAGUGCCGUAGCUAACGCAUUAAGUAUCCCGCCUGGGGAGUACGGCCGCAAGGUUGAAACUCAAAGGAAUUGACGGGGGCCCGCACAAGCGGUGGAGUAUGUGGUUUAAUUCGAUGCAAAGCGAAGAACCUUACCAAGGUUUGACAUCCCCAGAAUCCCUAGGAAACUUGGGAGUGUAGCAAUAUAGACUGUGAGACAGGUGUUGCAUGGCUGUCGUCAGCUCGUGUCGUGAGACGUUGGGUUAAGUCCCGCAACGAGCGCAACCCUCAUCAGAUGUUACCAGCGGGUUAUGCCGGGAACUCUAAGGAGACUGCCGGCGACGAGCCGGAGGAAGGUGGGGAUGACGUCAAGUCCUCAUGGCCCUUACGGGCUGGGCUACACACGUCAUACAAUGGCUGGUACAAAGGGCAGCGAACCNNNNNNNNNNNNNNNNNNNNNNNNNGCAUGUCCCAGUUCAGAUUGUCCUCUGCAACUCGAGGGCAUGAAGUUGGAAUCGCUAGUAAUCGCGAAUCAGAACGUCGCGGUGAAUACGUUCCCGGGUCUUGUACACACCGCCCGUCACACCACGAAAGUCUGCAACACCCGAAGCCGAUGAGCUAACCUUUAUGGAGGCAGUCGUCUAAGGUGGGGCCGAUGAUUGGGGUGAAGUCGUAACAAGGUAAC